AUGUCCAUGAUGGCCAAACAAACCAAUAGCAACCGAAGGCAGCAAGGUGCGGGGCAAGGCUUGAGCGACGAGGAUGCCAUGGGCGUGCAACGGAGCAAAGGGGGCGCCAGGGCUCAGGGUCGGCAUGGACGGGCAGAAGCGCUCGGGAGCAUGGCUGCGGGUGCGAGACGGAGGUGGAGGCCCGACGAGGUCGGCGGCUUAGGCCUCCAUGGUGGUAGCGAAGGUCCUCCAAUGGACUUGGGCCACGAUGCGGUCGGAAGCAGCAGAGGAAGGGGCGGCCCUGGCCACGAGGUGCAGCGGCGGGAGCUUCGAGCUCGGCCGGCUGCGGCCAUGGAGGACGGCGGCGCUGAGGCGGGGUAG
This 360-nucleotide ribosomal RNA is filed under the name Triticum aestivum (bread wheat). RNAcentral's name for it is "partial small subunit ribosomal RNA". Lineage: Eukaryota; Viridiplantae; Streptophyta; Magnoliopsida; Poales; Poaceae. The record is from RNAcentral.